RNAcentral lists this ribosomal RNA (478 nucleotides) under uncultured bacterium. RNAcentral describes it as "bacterial SSU rRNA". It matches the Rfam family "Bacterial small subunit ribosomal RNA", at positions 28 to 507 of the family's 1533-position model. The record is from RNAcentral.
GACGAACGCUGGCGGCGUGCUUAACACAUGCAAGUCGGACGGUUUGCGCUGGAAGGUUCGCUGGAAGGCGCAGAUAGUGGCGGACGGGUGAGUAACGCGUGAGGACAUGUCUGCAGGAGGGGGAUAACGUUUGGAAACGGACGCUAAGACCCCGUAAGCCGGGAGGUAAAAGUGGCGAAAGCCAGCCUGUGGAGUGACUCGCGUCCUAUCAGCUAGUUGGCGGGGUGAAGGCCCACCAAGGCGAUGACGGGUAGCCGACCUGAGAGGGUGGCCGGCCACACUGGAACUGAGAUACGGUCCAGACUCCUACGGGAGGCAGCAGUGGGGAAUAUUGGCCAAUGGGCGCAAGCCUGAACCAGCCAUCCCGCGUGCAGGAAGACGGCCCUAUGGGUUGUAAACUGCUUUUCCAGGGAGAGAAACUUACGCACGUGUUGCGUGACUGACGGUACCCUGGGAAUAAGCAUCGGCUAACUCCGUG